UACGUAGGGGGCAAGCGUUGUCCGGAUUUAUUGGGCGUAAAGAGCGUGUAGGCGGUUUUACAAGUCCGCUGUGAAAACUCGAGGCUCAACCUCGAGCUGUCGGUGGAAACUGUAAGGCUAGAGUCCGGAAGAGGAGAGUGGAAUUCCUGGUGUAGCGGUGAAAUGCGCAGAUAUCAGGAAGAACACCCGUGGCGAAGGCGGCUCUCUGGGACGGUACUGACGCUGAGACGCGAAAGCGUGGGGAGCAAACAGG
This 253-nucleotide ribosomal RNA is filed under the name uncultured bacterium. RNAcentral's name for it is "partial 16S ribosomal RNA". It matches the Rfam family "Bacterial small subunit ribosomal RNA", at positions 524 to 776 of the family's 1533-position model. The record is from RNAcentral.